RNAcentral lists this ribosomal RNA (671 nucleotides) under Burkholderia cenocepacia. RNAcentral's name for it is "bacterial SSU rRNA". It matches the Rfam family "Bacterial small subunit ribosomal RNA", at positions 55 to 719 of the family's 1533-position model. The record is from RNAcentral. Lineage: Bacteria; Pseudomonadati; Pseudomonadota; Betaproteobacteria; Burkholderiales; Burkholderiaceae.
CUGCAAGUCGAACGGCAGCACGGGUGCUUGCACCUGGUGGCGAGUGGCGAACGGGUGAGUAAUACAUCGGAACAUGUCCUGUAGUGGGGGAUAGCCCGGCGAAAGCCGGAUUAAUACCGCAUACGAUCUACGGAUGAAAGCGGGGGACCUUCGGGCCUCGCGCUAUAGGGUUGGCCGAUGGCUGAUUAGCUAGUUGGUGGGGUAAAGGCCUACCAAGGCGACGAUCAGUAGCUGGUCUGAGAGGACGACCAGCCACACUGGGACUGAGACACGGCCCAGACUCCUACGGGAGGCAGCAGUGGGGAAUUUUGGACAAUGGGCGAAAGCCUGAUCCAGCAAUGCCGCGUGUGUGAAGAAGGCCUUCGGGUUGUAAAGCACUUUUGUCCGGAAAGAAAUCCUUGGCUCUAAUACAGCCGGGGGAUGACGGUACCGGAAGAAUAAGCACCGGCUAACUACGUGCCAGCAGCCGCGGUAAUACGUAGGGUGCAAGCGUUAAUCGGAAUUACUGGGCGUAAAGCGUGCGCAGGCGGUUUGCUAAGACCGAUGUGAAAUCCCCGGGCUCAACCUGGGAACUGCAUUGGUGACUGGCAGGCUAGAGUAUGGCAGAGGGGGGUAGAAUUCCACGUGUAGCAGUGAAAUGCGUAGAGAUGUGGAGGAAUACCGAUGGCGAA